Notothenia coriiceps (black rockcod) is the source of this 317-nucleotide long non-coding RNA. RefSeq lists it as uncharacterized. Lineage: Eukaryota; Metazoa; Chordata; Actinopteri; Perciformes; Nototheniidae. The record is from RefSeq and is a predicted model, not a curated record. The transcript is spliced from 3 exons.
GAAUGAAGGCACUCUGUCGAUGGUGGAGGGGGAACUACUUUCUGUUGUGGAAGAAGACAAAGGUGACGGCUGGACAAGAGUACGGAGGAACCUGGAGGAGGAGGGAUAUGUCCCCACCUCCUACAUCAAAGUCUUCCUGGAAAGCAGCGCCAAAGGCUUUGUGCAGAGUAGUCGGCUAGUCUAGCCAGUGAGGACGUCCCGCCACAGGAAGUGAUGUAAAGGAAAGAUUUCUUCACCAGAACAUCAGAUAAAGGCCCUUUAUGACAUCACUAUGUGCACCAGCAGGAGCUACUCGGACGGCUGUGGGAACAAUAAAG